Molecule: ribosomal RNA, 253 nt
Filed under: uncultured bacterium
Lineage: Bacteria
Description: partial 16S ribosomal RNA
Rfam family: Bacterial small subunit ribosomal RNA
Source: RNAcentral
UACGUAGGGAGCAAGCGUUGUCCGGAAUCAUUGGGCGUAAAGCGCGCGUAGGCGGCCCGAUAAGUCCGCUGUGAAAGUCAACGGCUCAACUGUUGGAUGCCGGUGGAUACUGUCGGGCUAGAGUACGGAAGAGGCAAGUAGAAUUCCUGGUGUAGCGGUGGAAUGCGCAGAUAUCAGGAGGAACACCUAUAGCGAAGGCAGCUUGCUGGGACGUUACUGACGCUAAGGCGCGAAAGCGUGGGGAGCGAACAGG